This 580-nucleotide long non-coding RNA is filed under the name Struthio camelus australis. RNAcentral's name for it is "lncRNA (ENSSCUG00000008581.1)". Lineage: Eukaryota; Metazoa; Chordata; Aves; Struthioniformes; Struthionidae. The record is from RNAcentral.
CCUUUAGUGAACAGAAGUCAACACCAUGUGGCUAAGGAACAUUCAUAUGACUCCAUUUAGUGAGCAACACAGAGGAGAGAGAUUGAAGAGGAGCGUUUGAUCUAACAAUGUAUGCUCACUGCAGGACUUUUACAUGUCUGCUUUCAUGGCAGCUGGACUUGUAGAGAAGAGGUGAAAAUGUUCCUACACAGGAUGCCUGCAACAACUGAUUAGGAAGAUACUGCCCUCAGGCAUGGGCGAUCACCUCCCAGCAGAGCAGAAGCCAGACAAAAGGCUUCCCCCUUCCUGAGUGACUGCUCUACACUGGUCUGUUUGGUAAGGGGAACUCUGAAGGAGAGGGUGACAGAAAAGUUUCUUUCUACGUACUUUCUUCAGAGCAUUGCACUAUUCCUUUCAGUGCUGACAUUCCAAGAAACUGGAGAAAAAGAGCUUGGCCUGUUUACCUUGAAGUUUGGCUCUUUGUUAGUUCCUCUAUGGAUGGACACCAUAUGGAAAGCACAGAGGAGAUGAUCAGUUGCCCAAGGCCGCUCAGUGGGAUUUCCUCACCUCCAGAAGCUCCACGUAGAACUGAAGUCAGCAG